GCAUAUUAGCUGAGUUGGUUAGAGCACGGUGCUAGUAACACCGAGGUUUGUGAGCUCAAUCUCCAUAUGGUUCA
This is a non-coding RNA of Lamprotornis superbus, 74 nucleotides long. Lineage: Eukaryota; Metazoa; Chordata; Aves; Passeriformes; Sturnidae. The record is from the annotation of a GenBank genome assembly.